Molecule: ribosomal RNA, 253 nt
Filed under: uncultured bacterium
Lineage: Bacteria
Description: partial 16S ribosomal RNA
Rfam family: Bacterial small subunit ribosomal RNA
Source: RNAcentral
GACGAACCGAGCGAACGUUGUUCGGAAUCACUGGGCUUAAAGGGUGCGUAGGCGGGCUGCCAAGUUUGGGGUGAAAUCCUCCGGCUCAACCGGGGAAGUGCCUUGAAUACUGGCGGUCUCGAGGGAGGUAGGGGCGUGCGGAACUAACGGUGGAGCGGUGAAAUGCGUUGAUAUCGUUAGGAACUCCGGUGGCGAAGGCGGCACGCUGGACCUCUUCUGACGCUGAGGCGCGAAAGCUAGGGGAGCAAACGGG